UACGGGGGGAGCAAGCGUUGUUCGGAAUUACUGGGCGUAAAGGGCGCGUAGGCGGCCCGCUAAGUCGAACGUGAAAUCCCCGAGCUCAACUCGGGAACUGCGUCCGAUACUGGCGGGCUUGAAUCCGGGAGAGGGAUGCGGAAUUCCAGGUGUAGCGGUGAAAUGCGUAGAUAUCUGGAGGAACACCGGUGGCGAAGGCGGCAUCCUGGACCGGCAUUGACGCUGAGGCGCGAAAGCGAGGGGAGCAAACGGG
RNAcentral lists this ribosomal RNA (253 nucleotides) under uncultured bacterium. RNAcentral describes it as "partial 16S ribosomal RNA". It matches the Rfam family "Bacterial small subunit ribosomal RNA", at positions 524 to 776 of the family's 1533-position model. The record is from RNAcentral.